This 482-nucleotide ribosomal RNA is filed under the name uncultured bacterium. RNAcentral's name for it is "partial 16S ribosomal RNA". It matches the Rfam family "Bacterial small subunit ribosomal RNA", at positions 30 to 507 of the family's 1533-position model. The record is from RNAcentral.
AUUGAACGCUGGCGGCAUGCUUUACACAUGCAAGUCGAACGGUAACAGGCCGCAAGGUGCUGACGAGUGGCGAACGGGUGAGUAAUGCAUCGGAACGUGCCCAGUCGUGGGGGAUAACUACUCGAAAGAGUAGCUAAUACCGCAUACGAUCUAUGGAUGACAGCGGGGGACCGUAAGGCCUCGCGCGAUUGGAGCGGCCGAUGUCAGAUUAGGUAGUUGGUGGGGUAAAGGCUCACCAAGCCAACGAUCUGUAGCUGGUCUGAGAGGACGACCAGCCACACUGGGACUGAGACACGGCCCAGACUCCUACGGGAGGCAGCAGUGGGGAAUUUUGGACAAUGGGCGCAAGCCUGAUCCAGCAAUGCCGCGUGCAGGAAGAAGGCCUUCGGGUUGUAAACUGCUUUUGUACGGAACGAAACGGCUCUGGUUAAUACCCGGGGCUAAUGACGGUACCGGAAGAAUAAGCACCGGCUAACUACGUG